Molecule: ribosomal RNA, 496 nt
Filed under: uncultured bacterium
Lineage: Bacteria
Description: partial 16S ribosomal RNA
Rfam family: Bacterial small subunit ribosomal RNA
Source: RNAcentral
AUGAACGCUGGCGGCGUGCCUAAUACAUGCAAGUCGAGCGAACAGACGAGGAGCUUGCUCCUCUGACGUUAGCGGCGGACGGGUGAGUAACACGUGGAUAACCUACCUAUAAGACUGGGAUAACUUUGGGAAACCGGAGCUAAUACCGGAUAAUAUAUUGAACCGCAUGGUUCAAUAGUGAAAGACGGUUUUGCUGUCACUUAUAGAUGGAUCCGCGCCGCAUUAGCUAGUUGGUAAGGUAACGGCUUACCAAGACGACGAUGCGUAGCCGACCUGAGAGGGUGAUCGGCCACACUGGAACUGAGACACGGUCCAGACUCCUACGGGAGGCAGCAGUAGGGAAUCUUCCGCAAUGGGCGAAAGCCUGACGGAGCAACGCCGCGUGAGUGAUGAAGGUCUUCGGAUCGUAAAACUCUGUUAUUAGGGAAGAACAAAUGUGUAAGUAACUAUGCACGUCUUGACGGUACCUAAUCAGAAAGCCACGGCUAACUACGUG